Molecule: long non-coding RNA, 3077 nt
Organism: Ictalurus furcatus (blue catfish)
Lineage: Eukaryota; Metazoa; Chordata; Actinopteri; Siluriformes; Ictaluridae
Exons: 3
Source: RefSeq, a predicted model, not a curated record
UUCAGUCAGUGCUGAUAUUUGACGUCUAAAAUGACGUUUCAGCUGAAGUUAUUUUCCAUUGGGGUGUGUGUGUGUGUGUGUGUGUGUGUGUGUGUAUUUGUGUGUGUGUGUGUGUGUGUGUGUGUGUGUGUGAACUGAAAAUGUCAGAUUUCAUGUGUUUUUCUCUUGUAGCAGGACAGGUAGAACACAGACACUUGGGAUGCAGGGCUGGUGCAUAAAAUGUGGCGGUUUGUUAUUUAAAGUCAGGUGAGAAAGAGGAAGUGAAGGGGUGUUGAGCGUGUGCACGUGGGUCGCUGGUUUCCCGGAGUGAGGUGCGAUGAGUGGGCUGGAGCGGCCAUGUGGCGGGCUGCAGGAGGCCUGGCGGAGGUCGGGAGGGCUGGCGAGAGGUGCGGAGCAGCCGAGGGGUUUCUCCUCUGAGCUCAUCGUCGUCUUCGUCAUCGUCCAGGUCUGAAAACACACAGAGAGAGAGAGAGAGAGAGAGAGAGAGAGAGAGAUGAAUCACUUGCUGUGAGAUUGAAUGCACCACGCCGUCUCUGCUGCACCCUUUUAUAGCUGCUCCUCUUCUCCCAGACGGUGAGGAGACGCCGCUCUGAUCAUCGGCUGCCAGCAGUGUGUGUUUCUGCCCCGCCGUGCAGCCAUGUGUGCUCUUGCUCUCUGAAACAACCGGGUGCUGAUGGAGAAGUGGCAUGUCUGUUCAGAGCGUGAUGCGUGUUGUGUGUGAGGACUGCAGGCCCGCCGUCGCACUCUCUACACUCACAUGAUUUCAGUAACACAAUUACAGAAGUCCGGCUGAACCUUGUCACGACGCUUUCCAUUGUUUCUCCUCUUUAGAUUAUUUUAAAGUCACUAUAAAUAGCUACUUAAGUCCACUUUGAUGCGGUCAGCGAGAUACUGGACAGUGGUGAGGUCUGUCGUAGCCGAGCCACGUCUUUGGUGAAUAGCUUCGAGUAAUCCAUGUAGAUCAGAUGAGAACAGACUUUGAAUCCGAUACCUUGUCUGUUCAGUAUGUUUGUGAGUGGUGCAACCAUAUGUGACAAAUAAAGGCUUCUUCUUCUUCUUCUUCUUCUUCUUCUUCUUCUUCAUCAUCUACUUAUUCUUCUUCAUCUAACUGCUAGCAACAACAGUAAGGGAGACAAGGAGCUGUCUUGAAAGAUAUCCCAUAUUUUGAAGGCGAUGCUUCCUGUCCUGAUGCGGCCUCCGUCUUCCGGUUGCUCCUUGAUGUUUUGUACAAAUCGAGUUCUCUAUCCAGGUAUGGGGCAAGCUCUCGAAUGCCUUCUUGUAGUCACUUCAUGCCAUAUCUACAGUAGAUUCCUCUGGUGCUCCUUUGCUCUUGUUAAAACCAUCUCACUGACCACUGAUUUCUAAACAUCCGUUCUGCUCAUCCGGGAGGAUUCUGUUCUUCAGUAAGUGGUUUAGAAGUGGUUCAUCAGUGCAGCUGAGAGAACCUGUUGGUAGUCAGGUGAUCGGACGAUAGUUCUUGGAGUCCUUUGUGUCCCUUCCAUCGGAGAGUAAAAAGGUGACUGCAGAUGUCAGCCUCUCAGGAAUGCUUCAUCUUUAUCUGUUUUUCUCAUUUGUUGCCCUUGUGAUGUCUUCAUGCAGGGCAGAGAGCCGUUUAAACCAGAGGAUUUGAAGCUGUUCUGGUGCAGGCGACUUCCAGUGACUUACAGGUGACUCUGUUUGUUCACCUUAGCUAUUUCACCAACUGUGAAGUCUGUCCAUGAACUAGAUGUUGCUUUAUCAUUAUGGCCGUCUUUGUCCUCCAGGAGGCCAUUCCAGAAGCUCUCUACUUCAGCUUUCUGGUUGUUCAAUGGUAUAACCUCUUGAUGUUCUUGUUCUCAUGAUAGCGAUCACUUCACUUUGUAUAGCUUUUCAACCAUUGCACUUUUGCCUGGAGCUUCAUUUGGAUGUUCAACAUAAUCAGCCUUGUAUUUGUUGGGACUCCUAUCACAAGUCCAUUCUGGAUGUCUAGCUAUAUUCAGUAGGGUUCCAUGGUCUUCAGAAUCCUCCUUCUCCAUGCAGGCUCUUUGGUGCUGAUCUCUCCAUCACUUCACCGCAGCAGUGGCGUACAUGAACUCUUUGCGAGAGCAGUACUGGCUAUCACUGUAAGGUGCUUUCGGGAUUGACUUUGUUGACUCUCUUGCACUCAUCGGGGCUGCAGGCCCUUAUUUCGAUCAGUAUGCUCCAUCUCUUCUCCUCAUUGUUACUGGACUCUGGUGUAGCUCUUUUACUACUGAUAGCACAGUACCUGCCUGUAGUUGCUCGUCGGCUGGUUGAAGAAGGGAGUCAUCCAAGGUUCUUGCAGUUGGGAGCUGUUUCCUGACAUCUGCCUGGAUGUUGGUGAGGUUCUUCUCCGUCACUAUGAACUGCGUUUGGUUGGCACGAGUGUUCAUGUGAGGGAAGAGGUCUGAGAUCCUGCUUCUGCAGAUUGCUGGAGCAUUAAAGUGACAGUGAGACAGAAGUGGAGAGCUCUAAUCCCAUUUUGAGUUCACUGAUGCACUGUGUGAGUUCCCCGCGUUGCUGUACGCUCCUCCGUCCCGAUCGUGUUUCAGGCGACAGUGAAGUGCUCCUCCAGUCAGAUGCAGUAACUCACUCCAAACUGAAGUUUAAACGUGGAACUCCAUUUUCUCUGAUCGAUGAGACGUGACGCUUCAGUUUUAUCGUUCUAAUCUGUCUGAUUUCAGCAGUGUGUGUGUGUGUGCUAUAAUCAAUACGACUGCAUCCUGACUGAAGAUAAUUUCACACUCGUCUCUCCUUUCACACUGAGACAGCUUUCCCAGAAGUCCCAUCUCACAGCGAGCAGCGAGGGACAGAGUGUUCCGAACAGGCCGAGCAGAUCCUCUUUCUCCACACCGUCUCAUAUUCACUUCAGUUUUAAUAAAUACAGAGCAGACAGAAAAGAAUCUCAGAACACACAUGCCGAACGUUGAGGGUGAUGGCCUACAAUAGCAGAAGACCACAUCAGGUUCCUCUCCUGUCAGCCAGGACCCGGAAUCUGAGUCUACAGUGGACACGAGUUCUCCCAAACCAGAUAUAUGAAGAUUGGGAGGAAAAAGUCCCCUGGUCUGAUCAGUCUGGUG